AGCGUAAACUAUGAUGAUGGU
RNAcentral lists this non-coding RNA (21 nucleotides) under Arabidopsis thaliana (thale cress). The record is from RNAcentral. Lineage: Eukaryota; Viridiplantae; Streptophyta; Magnoliopsida; Brassicales; Brassicaceae.